CUGAAAUAAUAUUAAGAAUGAGGGGUGAGUUCAACCAACUCAGUGAGGGAAUAAUAAUUAAUAUACAUUUUAGAUAUUCUUGAUAUUAAUAGUUCGCAAGAUCAUUUAUCUUGAUGUACAUAUACAUAUACAUAUCAUAUACAUACUAAACGUAUCAUCAUAACGUAGUGGACUAUAUGUCAGAGAUCAGAUGACACCCGAAGGUGACCAGAUGACACCCGAAGGUGACCAGACCAGAUGACACCCGAAGGUGACCACUGUGGGAUGAUCAGUCGCCACAGGCUGAUGCCUCUCUCACCAGCUAGGUAUACAUACAGAAUACUAUGUGCACACAGGCUAACUACUCUCCGUUAGCAUGGAGUUACUGACAAGUCCCAUAUCAAGGCAUAAUAGAUAUUCACAUAAUCAUCAAGAAAAGUAUAUCAUAUCAAAUAGGAUUUACUUUGACAGAUUGCGAGUGCAAAUUCAAGAAUAAAUGAGUACUCAGAAAAUAAGCAACAUAUAUAAUUAUUCAAGGAAUUAACGAGUUGUACUCAUUGUAUAAUCAACAUACAUAUUUACUUAUCAUAUAUGCAUAUUAAAGAUUAUUCCACUCACCCG
Molecule: long non-coding RNA, 600 nt
Filed under: Populus trichocarpa (black cottonwood)
Lineage: Eukaryota; Viridiplantae; Streptophyta; Magnoliopsida; Malpighiales; Salicaceae
Description: long non-coding RNA (PTRI_LNC003748)
Source: RNAcentral